AGCGAACGCUGGCGGCAGGCUUAACACAUGCCAGUCGAGCGGGCACUUUCGGGUGUCAGCGGCGGACGGGUGAGUAACGCGUGGGAACGUGCCCUCUGGUUCGGAAUAACUCAGGGAAACUUGAGCUAAUACCGGAUACGCCCUUUUGGGGAAAGGCUUGCUGCCGGAGGAUCGGCCCGCGUCUGAUUAGCUAGUUGGUGAGGUAACGGCUCACCAAGGCGACGAUCAGUAGCUGGUCUGAGAGGAUGAUCAGCCACACUGGGACUGAGACACGGCCCAGACUCCUACGGGAGGCAGCAGCGGGGAAUAUUGGACAAUGGGCGCGAGCCUGAUCCAGCCAUGCCGCGUGAGUGAUGAAGGCCUUAGGGUUGUAAAGCUCUUUUAUCCGGGACGAUAAUGACGGUACCGGAGGAAUAAGCCCCGGCUAACUUCGUG
RNAcentral lists this ribosomal RNA (435 nucleotides) under uncultured bacterium. Its description in RNAcentral is "partial 16S ribosomal RNA". It matches the Rfam family "Bacterial small subunit ribosomal RNA", at positions 29 to 507 of the family's 1533-position model. The record is from RNAcentral.